Molecule: long non-coding RNA, 1641 nt
Organism: Lagenorhynchus albirostris (white-beaked dolphin)
Lineage: Eukaryota; Metazoa; Chordata; Mammalia; Artiodactyla; Delphinidae
Exons: 3
Source: RefSeq, a predicted model, not a curated record
UUCCUUAAAUGCUCCUCUAAGUUCACGAUCAAAGUUAAUAUAGCCCGCGAUGGUGGCGCUUUUAAAAAUUUCACAGACCGAGGGAGAUAACGGGGAGGGGGUUCACCCAGCUUUUCCAAAGAGCCCUUUUCCCUCCGUCCCCACCCCUUCUCCAUCGUAAAAAGUCGAGUCGUUGGGAGAGAGGGCUUUGUAGGUUAUAAUAAAAUCCUUUGAAUGCUUAUAAAACUCCACAUAAAAUCGGACUGACCCAAAACACGAGGCCGUCCCCGCUCCCCUCGCCUCCCCCCUACUCUCGCCCUCCCUCUCUGGCUCCCUCCCUCCUGCCCGCCUGUUUCACGGCCGCUGCUACCUACUGGGGGCGGCUCCCUUGGCCGGCUCCUUGGCCGCCGAGUGGGCUGAACCGGACGAGCUGGGAUUCGUGUUUUCCUCCUCGGCCUCGGCCGCCUCGGGCCCCGCCUCAGCCCGGGACGCCAGUCCCGAGGCCGGGGGCGCCUCGGGCUCCCCCUUGGCCUCACCCUUGCCCGGGCAGGGGGGCUCGGCGGGCGCGUCGCCGCCACCGCAGUAGGCGUUGUCGAAGAAACGGUCGAAGGCUUGGGGCAGGACGCUGUUCUUGUUGACUGAGGAGUAGAAGCCGGCGGGGGCGGCGUGCGGGGCGCUGGGGUGGUGGUGGCCGCCGUAGGAGCCUUCGUUUUUCAUGAGGAUCUCGGUGACGGUGGAAGGAGGCAGGCACUCCCGGUGCAUGAGCUCGUCGGCCGCCGCAUAGCAGGAGGAAUAGCUGUUCCGGUGGUGCCACUUGCCGGUGGGCUCCAGGCCGUAGGAGACCUCCCGGACCGGGGGCACUUGGGCCGGGUAGGGAUAGGAGAUCUGACGAGAGGGGGCCUGGGGCAGGAAGGAGGAGACCGUGGAGAACUCGGGCACGUAGUAAGUGCAACUGGGCAGAUAGAGGUUGGAGGCGCAGCUCCCUCGCUCGCCGAAAUCAGCGCCCCUCUCCUUGCGCGACGGCGAGCAGAAGUUGCCCAGGUUGACCGAGUUAAACAUCGUUCUCUUCUCCUGCCGGCUCCAGAUGGAGGUUUUGGACCUGAUCUAGCGAGGGGGGAAAAUUUGGGAAGGCGAGAUGACGCGUUAUCCGUCUUAGUCUCUCUCCCCGAGCACGUGAUCCAAAGUAGAUAUUGUCAUAUAUCAGUUCGGAGCACUUCGCAGUCGUAGGAGGGGUUCUCUCUUAGGGACUCUUACGCCACCAACCUGAAGAGGGUCACAGCGCGUGUUUACAAGAGUUUGAAGAAGUCGAUUCUUUUCCUGGCCAGGGCUGGCUAUCAAGGCUCCCUUUCCCCUUUGGAGAGACUCCCUGGAAGUGUAUCUGAAGUUUCUCAAAGGACGCGUCUGAGCAGCUGAAAAUCAGUUUAUUGAAAGGUUCUAGACUGGGUACCAGAGCAACUGCCCACAAGCAGAAAGCAACCUGGCGUCCAAGGAGGAGCCACUAGGGCAUCAUCUGUUCUGUUCAGAUCAGCAGGAGGAACUGAAGCCCCCGGGGACGCAGUCCACCGCACCCUUAGGAAAAGCCAGAAAUGGCGCAAACCCUCUUUUAACUCCUAACUCUUGUUUAAAAUUGGUUUCCACUGUAAAAAUAUUAUUUGUAUUUGA